GAUGAACGCUGGCGGCGUGCCUAAUACAUGCAAGUCGAGCGAACGGGCGAGAAGCUUGCUUCUCUGAUGUUAGCGGCGGACGGGUGAGUAACACGUGGAUAACCUACCUAUAAGACUGGGAUAACUUCGGGAAACCGGAGCUAAUACCGGAUGAUAUUUUGAACCGCAUGGUUCAAAAGUGAAAGACGGUCUUGCUGUCACUUAUAGAUGGAUCCGCGCUGCAUUAGCUAGUUGGUAAGGUAACGGCUUACCAAGGCAACGAUGCAUAGCCGACCUGAGAGGGUGAUCGGCCACACGGGAACUGAGACACGGUCCAGACUCCUACGGGAGGCAGCAGUAGGGAAUCUUCCGCAAUGGGCGAAAGCCUGACGGAGCAACGCCGCGUGAGUGAUGAAGGUCUUCGGAUCGUAAAACUCUGUUAUUAGGGAAGAACAUAUGUGUAAGUAACUGUGCACAUCUUGACGGUACCUAAUCAGAAAGCCACGGCUAACUACGUG
RNAcentral lists this ribosomal RNA (497 nucleotides) under uncultured bacterium. Its description in RNAcentral is "partial 16S ribosomal RNA". It matches the Rfam family "Bacterial small subunit ribosomal RNA", at positions 28 to 507 of the family's 1533-position model. The record is from RNAcentral.